Phragmites australis (common reed) is the source of this 763-nucleotide long non-coding RNA. RefSeq lists it as uncharacterized. The transcript is spliced from 3 exons. NCBI's taxonomy places the organism in Eukaryota, Viridiplantae, Streptophyta, Magnoliopsida, Poales, Poaceae. The record is from RefSeq and is a predicted model, not a curated record.
UGCUGUUACAAACGGAUUAACAGAAUUUACAUGAUAUUUAAUUUCUACCUGUAGCCCCACAAAUGCCACUAUGGAUGUCCACCUUGCAAACUGACCUGCGGAGAAGAACUUUCUUGUGGCCACAGGUGUAAAGAAAGCUCUGUGUUUCAACUUUACUGAAUGUGCCAUUGAUUCAAUGUAAAGAAAUGAAUACUACUUUCUCUGAUGUCUUAACAAUCUUUCACACACUAACCAGGUGUCAUGGCCCUAUUUCUCCUCCAAACCCUGAGUUCACACUGAAACCAACAAAAAAGAAAAUUAUAAAGCACAUAGAAUGCAUGCCUGGAACACCGUGCCCACCAUGCAAAGAGGUUGUUUUGGUGGCAUGCCAGGGACAGCAUCUUAGCCAAGAACGUGCUAUGCUUUGUUCCAAUUGGAGGCCGUUUCCCUGUCAAAAUUUAUGUCGGAAUCCUCUCCUUUGUGGCAACCAUUACUGCACAAAUCCUUGCCAUGUGUUAGAGGUCCCAUUGAAUCAGCCUGAAGGAGAUACUAUAGUAUCUAUCAGUAGAAAGAACAAACUUGCUGAGCCAUGUGAAGAAUGUGAUCUUCCUUGUCAAAGGGAAAUUACCAAAUUGCCCCCAUAUGUGCUGGAAGUAUGUCACCCUGGUACAUGCCCUUCGGUUGAUCAGUGCAUGAAGAAGAUAUGGUCUGAGGCUCUCAACAUAUUUAUAUUCACAUUUGUUUAGCGUGGAAUAACUUGAAGUAACGUGCAAGCGGUAACCAA